CAGUAGCCGCGGUAAUACGUAGGUCCCGAGCGUUGUCCGGAUUUAUUGGGCGUAAAGCGAGCGCAGGCGGUUAGAUAAGUCUGAAGUUAAAGGCUGAGGCUUAACCAUAGUACGCUUUGGAAACUGUUUAACUUGAGUGCAAAAGGGGGGAGUGGAAUUCCAUGUGUAGCGGUGAGAUGCGUUGAGAUCGGAAAGAACACCAACGGCGAAAGCACUCUGCUGGGCCGACACUGACACUGAGAGACGAAAGCUAGGGGAGCAAAUGGGAUUAGAUACCCCUGUAGUCCCUGUCUCUUAUACC
RNAcentral lists this ribosomal RNA (301 nucleotides) under uncultured bacterium. Its description in RNAcentral is "partial 16S ribosomal RNA". It matches the Rfam family "Bacterial small subunit ribosomal RNA", at positions 509 to 808 of the family's 1533-position model. The record is from RNAcentral.